Molecule: long non-coding RNA, 305 nt
Filed under: Homo sapiens (human)
Lineage: Eukaryota; Metazoa; Chordata; Mammalia; Primates; Hominidae
Description: long non-coding RNA NONHSAT024023.2
Source: RNAcentral
UAGGUGCCAUUAAUCCUUUAGCUGAAGAAUAUCUGUCAAAGCAAGAUCUACUUUUCUUAGACAUGCUCAAGUUCUUGUGUUUGUGUGUAACUACUGCUCAGACCAAUACUGUGUCCUUUAGGGCAGCUGAUAUUCGGAGGAAAUUGUUAAUGUUAAUUGAUUCUAGCACGCUAGAACCUACCAAAUCCCUCCACCUGCAUAUGCAAUGUGUGUUCUUUGUAUCGUCGUGACCAAGAUGUUUGUAAAACUAUUUUAAACCAUGUCCUUCAUGUAGUGAAAAACCUAGGUCAAAGCAAUAUGGACUC